GACGAACGCUGGCGGCGUGCUUAACACAUGCAAGUCGAACGAUGAAGCCUAGCUUGCUAGGUGGAUUAGUGGCGAACGGGUGAGUAAUACGUGAGUAACCUACCUUUAACUCUGGGAUAAGCCCGGGAAACUGGGUCUAAUACCGGAUACGACCAAUCUCCGCAUGGGGUGUUGGUGGAAAGCGUUAUGUAGUGGUUAUAGAUGGGCUCACGGCCUAUCAGCUUGUUGGUGAGGUAACGGCUCACCAAGGCGACGACGGGUAGCCGGCCUGAGAGGGUGACCGGCCACACUGGGACUGAGACACGGCCCAGACUCCUACGGGAGGCAGCAGUGGGGAAUAUUGCACAAUGGGCGCAAGCCUGAUGCAGCGACGCCGCGUGAGGGAUGACGGCCUUCGGGUUGUAAACCUCUGUUAGCAGGGAAGAAGAGAGAUUGACGGUACCUGCAGAGAAAGCGCCGGCUAACUACGUGCCAGCAGCCGCGGUAAUACGUAGGGCGCGAGCGUUGUCCGGAAUUAUUGGGCGUAAAGAGCUUGUAGGCGGUUUGUCGCGUCUGCUGUGAAGGCCGGGGCUUAACCCCGUGUAUUGCAGUGGGUACGGGCAGACUAGAGUGCAGUAGGGGAGACUGGAAUUCCUGGUGUAGCGGUGGAAUGCGCAGAUAUCAGGAGGAACACCGAUGGCGAAGGCAGGUCUCUGGGCUGUAACUGACGCUGAGAAGCGAAAGCAUGGGGAGCGAACAGGAUUAGAUACCCUGGUAGUCCAUGCCGUAAACGUUGGGCACUAGGUGUGGGGGACAUUCCACGUUUUCCGCGCCGUAGCUAACGCAUUAAGUGCCCCGCCUGGGGAGUACGGCCGCAAGGCUAAAACUCAAAGAAAUUGACGGGGGCCCGCACAAGCGGCGGAGCAUGCGGAUUAAUUCGAUGCAACGCGAAGAACCUUACCAAGGCUUGACAUAUACUGGACCGCAUCAGAGAUGGUGUUUCCCUUCGGGGCUGGUAUACAGGUGGUGCAUGGUUGUCGUCAGCUCGUGUCGUGAGAUGUUGGGUUAAGUCCCGCAACGAGCGCAACCCUCGUUCUAUGUUGCCAGCACGUUAUGGUGGGGACUCAUAGGAGACUGCCGGGGUCAACUCGGAGGAAGGUGGGGAUGACGUCAAAUCAUCAUGCCCCUUAUGUCUUGGGCUUCACGCAUGCUACAAUGGCCGGUACAGAGGGUUGCGAUACUGUGAGGUGGAGCUAAUCCCUAAAAGCCGGUCUCAGUUCGGAUUGGGGUCUGCAACUCGACCCCAUGAAGUCGGAGUCGCUAGUAAUCGCAGAUCAGCAACGCUGCGGUGAAUACGUUCCCGGGCCU
RNAcentral lists this ribosomal RNA (1347 nucleotides) under uncultured bacterium. Its description in RNAcentral is "bacterial SSU rRNA". It matches the Rfam family "Bacterial small subunit ribosomal RNA", at positions 28 to 1381 of the family's 1533-position model. The record is from RNAcentral.